Oreochromis niloticus (Nile tilapia) is the source of this 500-nucleotide long non-coding RNA. RefSeq lists it as uncharacterized. The record is from RefSeq and is a predicted model, not a curated record. The transcript is spliced from 2 exons. Lineage: Eukaryota; Metazoa; Chordata; Actinopteri; Cichliformes; Cichlidae.
UUCUCUAAGUUAACUUUCCUUUCCUUUCCUUCCCUUCCCUUCCCUUCCCUCCUUCCUUGACCUUACCUUUCUUCCCUCCUCUUGCUUCCCUCAUCCUCAUCCCGCAGAGAUCCAGCUUUAUUGGCAGAGCUUUACAGAUCCAAUACCAGGAGAUUAAACUAGUGUCCUUUUCCUCUUCUGUUAUUAAAACAGCAGCUCAGCAGAGAGGGAUCCACGGUGAAACAUCCACGGUGCCCACCGUCUCAAAUCUCCACCUGUUUUCUUGUAAGGUAAGUACUGUAAACAUUUACAGUUCCUGAACUUGCCUCUUUGUUGUCCUCGUUGGGAAAACUGCACAUUAAAAAUGUUGAGGUAAAAACUUUGCUCCCAGCAUUAAAGUGUUUCCUGCGCACUCGCAGACUAGAGAAAAAGUCAUGUUUCUGUGCCGACACUUCUUGUACAUGAUUUGUACUGCCAUGUAUACAUUUUCACCUGUACCUGAAAUAAAAUGAGAGCCUGGA